This 75-nucleotide antisense RNA is filed under the name Kitasatospora aureofaciens. RNAcentral describes it as "ASpks TB sRNA". It matches the Rfam family "ASpks TB sRNA". Lineage: Bacteria; Bacillati; Actinomycetota; Actinomycetes; Kitasatosporales; Streptomycetaceae. The record is from RNAcentral.
CUUGACGGAGCCGAGCCACAGCGGCCGGUCCGCGGGGCGUUCCCGGCCGUACGUCGCCAGCAGUGCCCGGGCCUC